GGGGGGGCGUGAAUAGUAAUGACCUUGGGAGGGGGCACUAACAAGGAAAGAGUUGUGUAGCACUCUCUGUCUCUCAAAGGGGUGGAAAAACCAUUGCAAGGGAGACAGCCUCCCGGGAGAAAAACCCGGCUCGGAGAGAACCAGGCUGAGCCUGGCGAGAUUUUCUGCGCGCAAAGAGAGGGUGGAGUGGAGGGAGCCAUCUCCUCUCCCACCGCUGGGGUGUGUUUUUACAUGUUUUCUCAGCAGCAAGUUCUAUAAACAGGUCAGCCCUAUGCUGCCAGGGAUCUCUGGCUGCCAGUGUAGACGCCUCUCUUCCCCCCUCUCCCUCUCUGCAAGUCAAACGCGCAGGAGAUGCGGGUGGGAGUCCGGGCCGGGGGAGGGGCACCACCUUCCACUUCUGACUUGGAGGGUAUAUCUGCUUUUGAAAUAGCUUCUCUUGUCUUCAGAGGGUAAAAUAUGAGUUCCCCGCAUGUCUGAGUCUGGUCUUCUGGUACCUCAAGCAAAAUUUGGGGAGGGAAGGGAAGGGAGGCUGUUCUAAUUACCUUUGAGCUGAGCGGGGGGUGGGGCGGGGGAUUCUGUCUUUUCAGUCCGGUCCUGCUGGGGUGCCCCUGAGUAUUAUUAAACCCAGACGCUCCGUCCAGAAGUUGGGGCCAUGCGGAAAAGAUUUACAAUUAAGCCAAUUGGGGCAGAAUACAACCAUCCAAAGUUUGCAGGUGUAAAUAAUGCCUUGCUUUUUUUGGCAUUCCAAGCGACUUCAUUUCAAAACCCACCCCCCUUCCACCCUACCCACCCAUGGCUGGACUCUAGUUCUUUUAGGGGAGAGGGGGAGAGAGAGUAGUAGAGUUAGGAUUUUUCUAUUAGACAAGUUAAAAUAUGAUGUUGCACUCACUUUUAUGUCCCUGUAUUAAUGUCGUGGAUAACCAGGACAGGCUCCUCUAUUUCAUUUCUCUGUCUAGAAUUGAGAACUGUUGGAGUCAAUGAAAGGCCUUUUGAGAGUGGGUUAUGAAUUCUUUCUUUUUUUUUAAGGAAUGGAACAGAUUUUUAUAUAACAGAUAUUAGAGUUGGACUAUUUUACAGAUUUUUUUUUUUUAGUUGUAGAAAUUUGAGUGAGAGAGGAUAAGAAAAAAAAAAGGAAAUUGCCUUUAGUUGGCAUAUCAGAAUACUGCCUGCCCCAAGCUGCAUCUGGGGAAGAGGUGGUCUUUCAGACAGCAGAGCCAGAUGCCUUCUAGAGCUUCAGUUUAGAUCUUCCUAAUAUUUGGAGAAGGAAAUGGCAACCCACUCCAGUACUCUUGCCUGGGAAAUCCCAUGAACAGAGGAGCCUGGUGGGGUAGAGUCCAUGGUGUCCAAAAGAGUUGGACAUGACUUAAGGACUAAACAACAGCGAUUGGAGAGCUAGUUAAAUGAUGUAUGGGCCCAACUUCAGGGCUACACUCCAUUGCAUUAUUUAAACAUAAUAGAACGUGUGUGUGUGCUUCUAGGACGUUCUGUGUGGGUACAAGUGUGUAUAUGUGGGUAGCCCCACAUAGGAAAUGUGUAGCCCCAGAUAGGAAAGGAAAUCUCAGUAUUUAAAGAUGCUUUGCAAUCCACCUCACAGGCAGACUCCCAUUUGAUCAAUAUAGACAGAGUUAAAUUUGUUUUGCUGCUACGCAGUUACUCCUUUUCUCUUGGAGCAAUAGUCUGUUACAAAUUACCAGGAAAUUGAAGAAUGUGUCCCCCACCCCAACUGUUGUUCAGUGUUUUCAGUCUUGCACUAACCCGCUCAAUAAUAUAUGUAAUGUGUGUAUACACAGGCACUUUUCCAAAAAAUUAGCGAUAACAUUCCAGCUGUAUGAAGAGUGAUGUUUUUUCUCCCUCUGCAAGUGGGACUCAGUCUGUGGCUGAGUUGCCACUCUGGAGACCUAUUCCCUGGGGACUGACACCCCCGAGGAUCUAGAAGUAGGAGGCUUUCCAGCCCUGGUUGCAUGCAAAGGCAGGGAAUCAAGGCGCCUGACUCCAGCCAGUAUAAGGUCAUAGGUGUAGAAUUAGGAAGGCAGGACUUAACAUGUCCGCAACAAAAAGAGAGAAAGCGUCAACUCAGCCUGGGGUGAAACCCCUGAGCCGGCACAGGAAAAGUUUCUAAGCAGUGGUGGAACAAAUACUAUUUUUCGCCUCCUCUUUCCUUUCUUUUGUUUUUGUUUUGUUUUGUUUUUCCCUCCUUGAAAGAACUUCCCUGUCCAGUGCAUAUGUUGGGCAUAAAUAAAGAGGGGCGGUGGGGGGGUGGUGAUUAUUAAACGCUGGGUGAACCCGAAUCAGCCUUAAGCAAUGGCGGGGGGGGGGGAGGUGUGAGGAGGGUAGAAGAUAGACAUGUCCUAAUUUGGAGUGAGAGGGGGUGGAUGGAGGAAGGGACCGACUCCAGCUUAGAAACCUCCUCGAUCCUUGCGGCUGGAGGGACUCGCCAGGAACCUCUGCCCAGGGUGCCCUUGCCGUCUCACCGCUGGAUGGCGCUGAGGGGAGACAGGCUGGCAGGCACUUGUCCUCCUGUGCCCCCGCAAGGCCUGAGCAAAUCUCCGCCAAUGCGUGGGGUUGGGACCGUGUUUUUGAGCCAGAGCAGUGGCAGUCCUGAUGCACCAGGAGGCGGGAGCUAUUUUUGGAGUCGGGGGUGGGAAAGGGUCACCCAGAGUCCCACCAGGUCUGGAAGCUGGACAAAGAGAGUAUGGGCAAGAAUGGGGGUGUGUGAAAAGAUGGUUCUCAGGGCAAACUAGUGCUUCAUUUCUUGGGUGUCACCUGUUUACCUAGAAAGGUGUGUGUGUAGAUGGGGGAAUGGACAGGAGGUCAGCUAGAUAGGUAUGGAGAUUUGCAAAGGGUACAGGCUUUGCAGAACCUCAUUGUCCAGUGUCACUUUUUGCAAAGGCCAAUCUAAUGGUCCCCCUCCCCCUGCCACAACCCCCUCUCCCCCCACCCAGGUAUGCUCUGUCUAAUUGGAGUGGCAGGCCUUCCCGGCUGGAACUGUAUCUGGGAUUGAGAAUCUCAGGGCUGGGGUGCACUCUGAUCUCAGGCUCCCUGGGGGCUGGCAUGUUGCCAGACUGACCUGAGUCCUCAUUUGGGAGUGUCUGUCUAAAGGCACUUAAGACCUCAGGCUGGCUGUUCCGCAGCCAAAGGAGGAACUGCGGGCUACAAUUUGGAGAAGAAAAAAUUCAUGUCGAACUUACUAAGCACUUACUAUGCACCAGGCACUGCGUUAGAUGCUGCGAUCUUGUCAAAAGUUACUUACAGAGCUAGAAAAAAAAAAAUACCUUAACCAAAGAAGUUAAUCACUCUGGGUGUGUGUUUGUGUGUGAGUCACUCAGCCGUGUCUGACUCUUUUCGACCCCCUUUUGUGCACGGAGUUCUCCAGGCAAGAAUACUGGAAUGGGUUGCCAUUCCCUUCUCCAGGGGAUCUUCCUGAUCCAGGGAUUGAACGUGGGUCUCCUGCAUUGCAUGCAGCUUCUUCACCCUCUGAGCCACCAGGGAAGCCCAAUCACUCUGGGUAAGAGUGUCUAAUAUCAGUUAUCCACCUUGAAAGCUCCUAGAGAGAUAAGACUCCUCACAUCUCUAGCUCUGUUUGGGAGGUGCUCAAUAAAUCAUCUUUCAAUACAGGGACAAAAAUGAAUGAAGGAAAGGAAAGAAGUCAAACUAAAGGUGAUUUUCUGUGCAUAUGAAAAAUAAGUGACCACUUCAAAGAGCACUUUAAAAAAAAGCAUCGAAUUUGUAAGCUGUUCCCCCAAACAGAUCCUGACAUGAGACAGUGAAAAGAUGGUAGUGGGAAGAGAAAUUGGGUGUAAUGGAUAGAAACACCCACUUGGUCAUUCCACAAAAUACUGACCGAGACUUCUCUGCCGAGCACCGGAGACACGGGUGAAAACAUGGGUCUUCACCAGCUUGAUGCUUAUGGUCCUGAGUUUUGGUCACUAUGGUUUAAAAAAAAAAAUUGAGAUCAUUCCCAUUUUAAAGAUCAGGAAAGUUGAGGCCGAGGAGAGAUGGUGUCGGGAGAGAACUCAAGGUCUUAAAGCAGGAAGGCUGAACUAAAGUUGGCCCUCAGCUCUUCUGUGCUCUAGGGAGGCAGAAGGCUGGGUGAUUUUUGCUCCUGGGGAGUGUGGGGGCCCUGGGAACCCCAGCGGUGCUGACAAGUCACCUUGGGCUGGCUUGGGGGGACGACAGAAGUUUACCCCCCUUAUGAGGUUGCAAAGACCACCCCAGCUCUGCUUGUCCCACCUUCAACCUUGGAACUAUGACGAGGGAUCUAACCUCCGAACCUCCCAUCCAUUGUUUUCCAUUUAGCGCGUUCACCUAGCCUAGGACGGAGCAGCUCUGCUGCUUUUUACAGACCAGAAUUUGUGGGACAGAAAGCUAGGGAGUCUCGUCCAAGGUCGCCUUGCUAAAGAAUGACAGUAAAGAAGACUUUACGACGACCCCUCCCUGCCAGGGUUUUAGGAGUCUGCCCAAACCCCUCUCCUCAUUGGUACCCCAAUGCCCUGUGCAGUCGGGGCACCUGCGGUGGGUUCAUCAAGUGUUGGUUGAUUGAAUAAACUUAAUUCUUAUUUGGUUCCUUUGUUUUACAAAUUGCACAAACAAAAAAAAUGGAUCAGUGAUCGAAUAAAAGGGAGUGGGUUGAGAAGCUCAUUCCCCUGACUGGCUGCCUGGUGGUGGGACAGCCUUGGGUCACCGGUGAGCCCUGGCAGCGGUAAGGCCACUUUCCACCAGCUUUACAAAGACGGUUGUGAUUUCCUUCGGUCUAUAUUUUCGUCCUAGACUUCGUUGGGGUGAUCGAUGGAGGAGACAAGCUGACCCACCGUGAGGUCAAUACAAUCGAUGCAGUCCUCCAUGGACGACCUCUUGGAAACCGCUCCAGUGGCUGCGUGCUGGGUUCCACCCAAAAGCUUUCAGGAUUUCAGAUUUCUUACUCCCGUGCUGAAGUUACCGCACUGGAAGGAGGAUGGGGGUAGGUGGGCAGGAAGAAGCCUCCAGCCUCACCUGAGGGAGUCUCUGGGAACUGCGGGUCGGGAGAAUCUCUGCUCCCAGGCAGCCGGCCACGCUCUCAGCAAAGUCUGGUAAAUUUCGUUCCGGAGCUUCCUGGCCUUGGAAUCAGACACCCUCCAACUUAUCCUGGCGGGUCGGCUGUCCUUAGCCCUCGGUUCCUCAUCUGCGAAAUGGGUUUGUUACGAAAUACUGUUUAUUGAAGAGAAUGUCUGUGAAAUCCCCUUGGAGGAUGAUUAUGUUCUAAGACCUUUCCCAUACUUUGGCUCACCGAAUACAACACUCCGAGGAGGCGGGUGUCUUUCACGGAUCUCUGUUUCCCAGAUGAGAAAAUGAGGCAUGCAGAAAGAUAGAGACUUGACCGAGCUCGGACAGCUGGUGAGCCCCUCCUGGAGCUGAGAUUCACCCUAGGGAGGGUCUAACUCCUCGUCUGGCUUUCAACAAGGUCACAGGUGCCGCCUGCGCGUGCACACACACAUACACACACACAGUAGGUACACAAGGGCGAUCUUUUUCUUUGCCCUUUAGGGAGCACACAUUCCAUGGAACCCUUUCCCAAGCACAUCUGUAAAUUGCUUUGAUCCGUAGGUCUCUUCCUUCUGGAAACAAAUGCAGUGGUGGGGGGGGGGGGGGAUGUUCGAGUCUGACAAAUCUUCUUAAACUCGGAAAUCCAGAGCUUUCAAGACAAUUUUUUUUUUUUUUGUACGAAGGAAGGAGGGGUACGUGUGUGUAUGUAGAAUCAAUAUGGGCCAGACAGCCUUCACAAAGGGACUCCAGGCGGGCGCCUCGGCCGCACGGCCCCCGCCCCACCGCCCGCGGCGAAUUAAUUGGGCCCUGAAAGAAGGGGCAACGUAGCUUCCAGUUAAUUAGUCAAGAAAUGAAUCAAGCCCCAGCGGCCUGGCAAAGGCCCCUGGGGCGCGGGUUUUGUGCAAGUCAAAUCGGUCGGUGGGGCGCUCCCCUUUGGGUCGGGUGGGGGCGCAGCGGGGAACUAGGCUUGGGCGCCUCUGGCUGCCCCGCGCCCGGCGCCUUGUACCCCGCGCCCCAGAGCAGGCUCCCGCGCCCCCUCGGGCUCUCGCUUUCAUCAUCUAUUUCCUUUUUCCUGACUCCCUCCGUCCGCCUCUCCUUUUCCUUUUCGUCUUUGCCGUAGCCCCUUCUCCCAGAACUUUGCUCGCGGUUUUCCAUCCCGUCUCCCAGCUGCGUCUGGCUCCAAACUCUCCGUUUUGGGGCAUCUUCCUCUAAAGCCCCUGCCUCCGCCUAGCACAUCUGGGGCUGGGUGGUCAGGGAAUGGCGCCUGGGAUGUGGAGAAACCCGAACUUAGGGGACACAGGGUGGAAAUGAGCCCUGGCUUUGGAGCUCUUUGAGGCCUGCUGUGUGUUCCUAGGUACACAUUCUUCAUCCUUCAACCUAGGAUCCAGGUUCCUGGCUCUGGUUAGGAGAACCCUCUGAGAUAAUGCAGGGCUUUGAAAGGGUUCUAUAACUCAUGACCCAUGUCCCCAGGCGAUGAGGACUUAGAAUUGAGGCACACCUGCCACAUAUAAGCAACUGUUGAGCGCCAGCGGUGUGUUUUCCUUACUUUGUUCCUCCACUCCUCCUCCAGACACUCUGGGUAACCCAGGCAGCCAAGAUCCCCGGUGUUUUCCAUCAAAGCAGCUCUGCUGGAGAGGAGGGAGGGGAGACACAAAUCGUUAAACUCAGUUAUUUCAAGGUCUUUUUGUGCCAUGUACCAGCGGUCUCUCCUGAACUAAAGGGACGGAACUGGGGGCUCAGAGAUGUGGACUGAUCCUCCUGGAGUCACACAGCAAAGGGGAGGCAAGGCUGAGACUUUCACCUUCAAACAGGCGUUCGGUGCCUUGACACGGUGCUGCCCUUUGAGCCCGCGAAGAGCUCAGGGAUCCUCAGAGGUCCUGCUGGCCUGACCUGGGCUCCGAACAUUUAUGUACAGGAAGAGGUUCGCUAGAAUCACCUUGCCUCCUCCAGCUUGGAGCUAAGGCCCGAAUCUCUCUCCAAUUCUGCAUUUCUUUCCCGUCUGUCUUUGUCUUUCGAGCUCAGUCUCUACUUUAGUCUCCCACCCACCAGUCUUUCUCUCUCCCCCUCGACCUGCCUUCGAAUGCACAGGGCUGAGGUCAGAAUCUCUCCCACUUUCUUCCAAAUUAUCUAGGUAGUUGCUCACAUCUCGCGGCUUGGAGCGGGGUUGACACCCAUCUGCCGCCAACCGCCAGGAUGGGAGCCACAGACGCAGACUCGCAGACUCGAUUCAAUUCCAUGCCCUCGCGUCUCUGCCGCCCGCCCCCCAUCCCCAGGCCCUCCCCAAGCCGCAUCCACCCGGUCCUAGGAGAGACCCCAGCGGAUGAUUCGAUGAACGCCUCAGUUCCACACAGGAGCCCCGAACCGCGUUUUUUCUUUCUUCCUUUGCUUGCUAUUGACCGACUUUGGCUUCGCUCAAGGCCCCGAGGUGCCUGCGCCGCGCUUGGCUUUGCUUCCUGCCUCUCGAGGCAAGCCGGGGAUUGCGGUUUCCUCUCGCCAAGUCCCUGCCAGGCGCGCACGCAGGGGCUUGGCGAGCUUGGCGCGCGCGUUUGGCGCACACUGCUUUGGGCCUCAGUUUCCCCGCCCCUUUCGGAUCAUACAAGCGCAAGACAAAACGGCUGGGACUGGAAGCAUGGCCAGCGGAUUGGGUGGUGGCGGGCACCGCAGUUUCUGUGUGGAGUGGAGUUAAGCCUGGAAUCACGGCCGCCGCGCCUUUCCUGUUCCUCCUCUCCGCGGACUAUUACCCACCUCCACGACCCCAGUCUCCCUCAAGUAUCACCAGCAGUCUGGUGGAGCUCGGUUGGCGGCGUAGGGAUGCUGGCUACCUCAAGGCGAGGGCGAGCCAGCAGGUGCGGGCAGGGCUGGUUCCCUGCAGUUGCCGGCUCUACAGCCAUUACUGGUGGCCUUGGGUACAUAGGCGGCCUCGGACAAGCCUCGUUCCAUCAAAGUGUUGGCACACACCUCCUACUGAGCUUUAACAGGGGGCCUGUUAGAGCCUUGGAACUUUGGAAGAGUCCCCUAGCUCUUCUGAGCCUCAGUUGCCUCCUCUGAAAAAUGGGGAGGAUAGGUCCUGCUGCGGAGGACGAAGGCAAGGAGUAAAUGAGACCUCUUGUGUACAUCACUCAGUCUAACCCCUGGCACAUAGUAAGUGCUCAUUAAGCAUUAGCUGUUUGGGCACCCUAAUCUCUCUGUCUCUAUGUAUCAUAUAGCUAUUUUGAUAAAAUAGAUACACUUAGUAUCUACUUAGUAUAUAUGCAUUUACUAAAUGUAUAGACUCAGUGCAUACUUAGCAUAUAACGUGGGUGUGUGCUCAGUCACUUCAGUCCUGUCCGGCUCUUUGCCACUCCAUGGAGUGUAGCCUGUCAGGCUCCUCUGUCCUUGGGAUUUUUCCUGCAAGGGUACUGGAGUGGAUUGCCAUGCCCUCCUCCUCAGAAUCUUCCCAACCCACGGAUCGAACCCCUGUCUCCUGCGUUGCAGGCAGAUUCUUUAUUACUGAGCCACCAGGGAAGCCCAGUAUAUCACAUAUACACUAAAAAUACAUGCUAUGUAUGUUUAGAGUAUCUUUAAGACAUAUUCUUCUUUUCUUAGACCACUACCUCUAGGGUAUAUUAGGCCCUUUCUCUAUUAGCAUUGCUUUACCCAGUUCUUUAAAAAAAAAUUUUUUUUUUUUGGCUACAUGACAUGGCAUGCAUAACCUUAGUUCCUCCAUCAGGGGUCCAAUCUGUGCUCCCUGCUUUGGGAGUGUGGAGUCUUAACCACUGGACUGCCAGGGAAGUCCCUCUUACCUAGUUCUGUUUACCUCUCAGCCUGAAGCCCCAUUCCUUGUCCUCUCCCAAGUUGAUCCUGUAGUGAUCAAGCCUCCCACUCUAGGCUUCAUGCCACUGCAGGCUACUUUCUGGAAUCCCAGGAUCUCAGAACUGCAAGUGACCCCAGAAAGUGUGCUCCCUUCUUGUCCUUGCAUGGGAGUUCAGGCCCCAGAGGGGUUUGGAGACCAGGUUCCAAUGCCUUUUCAGCCCUGACCAUCUCCAUCUCCUGACAGGAGAAAAAAGUGUCUCUAUCUAUCUCUUGGGAUCUAUUGAGGGAAAAGCACUUGUGGAAAAUAAAAGAAUAUGGUUGGGUGCCUGGAGCAUCCUUGGGCAGAGCCCCCAGAGCCAAGAGCUCUGUAAAUGAGGAGACGCCUAUGUGUGACCUGGGAUGGAAGGGGUGCUGGGCCCUUGGGAGGGUUCCUUGAUGCCUCCUGGCUCUCAGCACAGCUGUGUGUGGCUGACUCUACUCUCAGGCCCAGACUGCAGCUGCCCGAUUGCUGGUCAUCAGCAGGAGACCACAGUCCCCUUCCUCGGUCCUCUAGGACAUACUGAGACCACUUCUUUUCAGCCUGAGAGUGAAUGGUGUAGUGGGGAAGAGAGAGAUGAGAAAGGAGAAAUGGCAAGAUGGAAAAGGAGGAUGACUGGGAGUGUGGGGAGAAGUGAGUGAGAGCAAGAGAGAGAAGGGACGCUUGGGGAGCAGGGAGGAAGGAGAAAACAGAGAGAGACAGUCACCUACCCUGAGAUGGACAGAAACCCUUCAUACCUGGAGAGACUGGGAGAGGCAGAGAGAGAGAGAGAAACUCAAGAGACAAAGAGAGAAGCAACUAAGAGGCGCAGAGAGGGGAAAAAAGAAGGAAGGAGCUUGGAAAGGAGUGUCCCAAAAGAGACAGAAGCAAGCUGGUAGGGAAAUGACAGCCCAGGGAGGCCUCAGGCAGCCCAGCCACACCCCCCGGCCCGCCCUCCCGACAUGUUACUUAACUUGCCAGGAGAUUAUCUAGUACAGUAUAAAUGCCUCCAUUAAAUCAUGAUUGAACUCCUCCAACGGAACAAUUCCCCAAGUAGCCUCCAGCCCUAGGGGAAUAUGGUUUUCAAAACCCCUCGAAGCAUCAGAUACCAGCAAUUUAGGAGAUAAAUUAUCAUUCACUAGGGGUUUCCAGGGGCCCCCUUACAAGGCCUUUGGGGUGGGGGUGGGGGAGUGUGUGGCUAAGAGCCUCCGUCCGUGCAGGAAAAGACGCCGCAUUUCUCUCUUGGCCAUCGGAUUUGCCUGGAAGCCUCUCUCCUCCCCCAGUGCACAGCCACCCAAACCCACAAGGAAGGUUGGGCCCGUAGGGUCCAAAGUUGGCCAAGAAGACGAAACAUUCUGCCGGAGUCCUCCAGAUUCCCAGAGUGCAUUGGGCGAGAUGGAGAGGGGCUGUGCACGCAGUUUCUUAGCUGCUCCCUCUGGAGAGGGAUGGAUGGAGUGGUGAUGGAGAAUGUCCCCAGCGACACCUGGGAAAGCAGACUUUCAUUCAGCCAGGUGGGGGGAGGGGGGAGCGGUGAGAGACAAGGAGAAGGGUUAGAUACUGGAGAAAAGCCUGGUUUUUAAGGCAAAGUCUCCCUACUUCCCCGUCUCAUCACUCCAACUAGUUGAUCAAAUAAAGUAGGGCUCAUCUUCCCUCUCACCCCGUGGGUCUUCCUCAUUGGUCUCCCAGUGUGCUGAUGAAGGUAUUUUCAAAGGUAGCAAAUAAAAAGAUUUCCUUUUUAUUCCUCUUCCUCCCAGUGCUUCCACCUCCUCUCCUUGCAAGGCUUGUUUGUUUUGCUUUAACAAACACCUUAUAGAGUUUGCUUUAAAGGAGCACUUAAAAAAAAAAAUUGUACCCCUAGGGCAGGCCAAGUGUUAACUGCUUGUGUGUGUGUGACUGUGUGUGUGUGUGUGUUUAGGCCUCCUGAGUGGGCUUGUAGUUAUAAAGGGGACCUGUUUCAGGUGCAGAAAGCUGGGAGAGGGGAGUGGCAAGGAAUGCCUGGACAGAUUUACACCUGUCCUUACAGCUGCCAUCGACAACACUUACAGCCUCCAGAAAUGACCCUUGGUGCCGACUUGUCUGGAAGCCAUCAGGGUUAGUUUUGAAGCAGGAGUCUUCAAGUGGACCAGAGGGUAAAGCUCUGCCCAGCCCCUCCCAGCCCGUCUUCUCUGUUGCUGUCCUCAAGUGCUGCCCCUUCCCCUCCUGCCCACCAGCCCCCUCACCCCGCCCCCGCUUUCUCUGUUUCCUCUGUCAGACACAUAUCAUCAUUUGACUUUCUGAUCCCUUGGUGCUACCGUCUAACGAAGGCGAGGCAGGGUGCAGAGCUUGCAGCCAGCUCAUCGUGGCCAGCCCCCUGCAUCCCGACAAGGAGCUGGGUCUGGCCCCAGGAAUCUGCGCAGGGGGGUGGGGUGGGGAUUCCUGACUCUACCUUCCAGCCAGUUUCUGCCCCCUGCCACCAGCCCCACCCCAGCCCACCGGCCAGACAGUUUGAGCGACUGACUGAUAAUAUCCAGACGCCUCUGGAAUCCCGCUUGCAGUCCUCCCAGCGCUGCUCGGCCUGGUCUGCAGAAGUGGGGGCAGUGGGCAGCAGGCAUUCAGCUGUGACACUUGUUGCCACCUCUCAGAGGCCGCUGAAAGGCCCACUCAGCCGGGCCCUUCAGGACGGGGGACCCUGGAGCCAGGGCACUCAGGAGACAUGUUUGACACCCACGCUGGGAACUUUGAGUCCAGUCCCUGACUUUCUCCGGCUGGCCCUGGCCCUGAAGAGGUCUAGGAGGCCGAGAGGGGGGCAGAUCACAGGCCAUCGGGGUGGGGGGCAGGCAGCGCUGGGUUGAGGGGUGGGGAAGUCCAGCACUUUGCCUGAGAAGUAGCAGGCACUGGGCAAGUACCCAGCCUUGAGUCCCUCACUGGCAAAAUUGGGAGGGGUGGAGGAGGGAGAUGUGAGAGCAUCUUCAUGUUUAUACAUCUUGGUCUCACUUUCACAAUGAUUUCCUUAACAUAUAUUUCAGGCAUCUUCUCACUUUUUUUUUUUUUUUUUUUUUUUUUGGGCCAUGCUGUGUGGCUGGUGAAAUCUCAGUUCCCCAACCAAGGAUUGAUCCCAAACCCUCUGCCGUGAAAGCUUAGAGUCUGAAACCACCCAACCACCAGGGAAAUCUCCAUCUGCUGACUCUUUUGAAACACCUAACUUGCCGAAAUUGAAACCUUUAUCUGGGUACCGUAAAUCAAACUCAAGUCUCACUUCCCAGAAGUAGAAUGAAAGUGGCGAGUUGUGGAAAGAAAACAAUAUGACAAGGCUCCAAGCAGGGCUAAUUGUUAGAAGGGUGAUCGAGACAGGCUGCCUCAGACACAUUCCCGGGAAGACAGAAGAAAGGAAGAAACAGGAAGGUCAUGGAGGAGUGGCAGAAGACCAAUGAGUAAACUUGACCCUGUGAAUCCUCGGCUCUGUUUUCUAAGACUGGGGAAACUGAGGCCCAGACAAGACAAGUAAUUGUCCAAGGUCACAGAGGAAAAAAAAAAUCCCAAUGGCUACAUGACUUGGCUCAUCAGCACCUGUUCUUCUCUUGGGAUCAUAUGGCAAGUCACUUUGGUGGUCUGGGCCUCAGUUUACUUAUCUGUAAAAUGGAGCCAAAUAGAUUAAUCACCUGCAGUUGAUCAACAAGAAAGACAAGAUCCCUCAGGAGAGAUAAUUUAUCCUAAUACUUGGCACAGAAUUGAUAAGCAAUAAAUAUUAGAUUUCUUCACUCUUU
Long non-coding RNA from Bubalus bubalis (water buffalo), 12570 nucleotides. RefSeq lists it as uncharacterized. The record is from RefSeq and is a predicted model, not a curated record. The transcript has 2 exons. Lineage: Eukaryota; Metazoa; Chordata; Mammalia; Artiodactyla; Bovidae.